UACGGGAGGCAGCAGUGGGGAAUUUUGCGCAAUGGGCGAAAGCCUGACGCAGCGACGCCGCGUGAGGGAUGAAGGUCUUCGUGAUCGUAAACCUCUGUCAGGAAGGAUUAAGGCAUGGGUGCUAACAGCACCCGGUGUUUGACUUAACUUCCAGAGGAAGCCCCGGCUAACUACGUGCCAGCAGCCGCGGUAAUACGUAGGGGGCAAGCGUUACUCGGAUUUAUUGGGCGUAAAGCGAAUGUAGGCGGUUUUGUAAGUCAGGGGUGAAAUCCCUCAGCCUAACUGAGGAAUAGCCUUUGAUACUGCAAAACUUGAGGACAGGAGAGGAAAGUGGAAUUCCCGGUGUAGCGGUGGAAUGCGUAGAUAUCGGGAGGAACACCAGAGGCGAAGGCGGCUUUCUGGACUGGUCCUGACGCUGAGAUUCGAAAGCUAGGGGAGCAAACAGGAUUAGAUACCCUGGUAGUCCUGGCUGUAAACGAUGGAUACUAGAUCUUGCAUAUUUAUGCUUGGUCGUAGCUAACGCGUUAAGUAUCCCGCCUGGGGAGUAC
This 548-nucleotide ribosomal RNA is filed under the name uncultured Aminicenantes bacterium. RNAcentral describes it as "bacterial SSU rRNA". It matches the Rfam family "Bacterial small subunit ribosomal RNA", at positions 340 to 883 of the family's 1533-position model. Lineage: Bacteria; Candidatus Aminicenantota. The record is from RNAcentral.